AGAACGAACGCUGGCGGCAUGCCUAAUACAUGCAAGUCGAACGAAGGCUUCGGCCUUAGUGGCGCACGGGUGCGUAACGCGUGGGAAUCUGCCCCUUGGUUCGGAAUAACAGUUGGAAACGACUGCUAAUACCGGAUGAUGACGAAAGUCCAAAGAUUUAUCGCCAAGGGAUGAGCCCGCGUAGGAUUAGCUAGUUGGUGAGGUAAAGGCUACACCAAGGCGACGAUCCUUAGCUGGUCUGAGAGGAUGAUCAGCCACACUGGGACUGAGACACGGCCAGACUCCGUACGGGAGGCAGCAGUAGGGAAUACGUGACAAGUGGGACGAAAGCUAGAUCCAGCAAUCGCCG
This 349-nucleotide ribosomal RNA is filed under the name uncultured soil bacterium. RNAcentral's name for it is "bacterial SSU rRNA". It matches the Rfam family "Bacterial small subunit ribosomal RNA", at positions 26 to 399 of the family's 1533-position model. The record is from RNAcentral.